Molecule: ribosomal RNA, 120 nt
Filed under: Lepisosteus oculatus (spotted gar)
Lineage: Eukaryota; Metazoa; Chordata; Actinopteri; Semionotiformes; Lepisosteidae
Source: RNAcentral
GCCAGCAGCUAUAUCACCCUGCAACUUGCAAUUGAAAACCCACUGAAGCUAAGCAGGUGUGAGCCUGGUCAGUACCUGAAUGAGAGACCUCCUGGAAAGAAACGGAGGUUGCUGCUGGAA